RNAcentral lists this long non-coding RNA (1140 nucleotides) under Anas zonorhyncha (Eastern spot-billed duck). RNAcentral's name for it is "lncRNA (ENSAZOG00000012139.1)". The record is from RNAcentral. Lineage: Eukaryota; Metazoa; Chordata; Aves; Anseriformes; Anatidae.
UUGUGCCGUGAGGUAGGAAAUGGACUGCAACUGGUUUAUCUGUGGGCAGGCAACCCCAUCUGUACCCCGAUCCCAGAUUUGACCUGGGAAAGCGCCGAGCUUCCACGGCCCCGAGCCCGGGCUCUGCCCUUCACCUCGCCGUGGCCCUGCGCUGAGGGGCCGAGCUGUCCCGCACGGCGGGUGCGGUGCUGCCAGCCUGUUCGCUUCUGCUCCGCUCGCUCCGGGGUUACCGUGCUCCUGCCAGCCCCGUGCCUGCGCCUGGCGCCGUUAGCUGCGGUGGGGUGGGGUGGGGUGGGGCUCCUGCCCCCGCCGGGAGAGGAGCGCUCCUGGCAGGCGUUUGUCCUUCCCGCCCAGCGGGGAGGGCGGCCAGAAGCGGCGGCUGCGGCCCCCUGCAGCAUUUGCCCCCUCCCCGCCGGCACGGGAGCGCCCGCGGCAGGUGCGGGGCCGCAGAGGGGCGGCGGCGGCGCUGGGCUCCCCGCGGGGCGCCUCAGCCGCUGCCUGAGGAGCGCCUCAGCCGCUCGCGCGCCGCCGGCCGUUGGCAACGGUCGCGCCGCGAGGGNNNNNNNNNNNNNNNNNNNNNNNNNNNNNNCCGGCGCCCAGGCACAGCAGGGAGCGGCGAGGGGCGCGAUGGAGGCUCCGCGCCUGGCGCCCACCAUGAGCGGCCCCGGCAGCCCCUGCGAGGAGGUGCUGAAGAACCUGAGCCUGGAGGCCAUCCAGCUCUGCGAGAGGGACGGUAAGGCCGCGCCGCGCCGCGCCGCCCUUUGUCCGCCGCCGGCGAGAACAAAAGGCGGGGGCCGGGCGGGUCAGCACCGCGGACAGCGGCGGGCGGCCCGCGGGGGGCAGCGCGGCUUCCCGGCCGGGGGGCAGCCGCCGCUGGCCUGCCGGGACACGGCCGCGCCCGGCUCUCGGCCGGCCCAAAGAACUUCGGGGCUGCGUGGCCGCGGCGUGCUCCGGGCGGGCGGCGGGUGGCAGCAGGUGCGCCUGGCGGGGAAUGGCGGUCCCGUGCGAGUGCGUGGCACGGCGGCCUUAAUGCAACUAUUGCCUCGCCGCGGCUGGAUUUCAGAGCCUGUCAUGGGUGGUGUGUGCAGGAACAGGCAGCCAGCGUCCUCAGCCUUUUUUUUCCUUUUUUCCACAAAUUAG